GACGAACCGUGCGAACGUUAUUCGGAAUCACUGGGCUUAAAGCGCGUGUAGGCGGAAGGGCACGUCCGUUGCUGAAAUCCCCCGGCUCAACCGGGGAACGGGCGCGGAUACGACUCUUCUGGAGGGGCGUAGGGGGACCUGGAACUUCCGGUGGAGCGGUGAAAUGCGUUGAGAUCGGAAGGAACGCCCGCGGCGAAAGCACUCUGCUGGGCCGACACUGACACUGAGAGACGAAAGCUAGGGGAGCGAAUGGG
This 254-nucleotide ribosomal RNA is filed under the name uncultured bacterium. Its description in RNAcentral is "partial 16S ribosomal RNA". It matches the Rfam family "Bacterial small subunit ribosomal RNA", at positions 524 to 776 of the family's 1533-position model. The record is from RNAcentral.